CCUCUGCAUACCACAUCAUGGCGUCACAGACGAAGUCACCGAUGGGGGCCUGGCCCAGACGGAUAACGUUCUUGUCGGAAACCAGGGUGUGCGACAGAGUGCCCAGUGCGCAGGAGGCGGUGGAGGUGGGCGCCGCGGAGCAGAUGCCGCUGCUGCCGCCCAGGUCGCAGCGGUUGAUGCGGCCCUCGGCAGCAGCGUAGCCGGUGACCUGCAGGGACAGGAAGGAAGAGACAGGCAUGAGGUGCAGUUCGCACGAGCAGGGACUAAUAACAGGGAGCGCAAUGGGAAAGCGAGGGUCGUGUUGUACCACGUCUUAUCGCAGGAAAAGAACCGAUCGGCGGAUGACAGGGAGAUGAAGGCAAAAAUAGCAGGGCCGCUGGUGAAGCUAUACCACCCUGUAACAAUAUCAUAUAUACAUAAUGAUGUGUGAAACAGGGGGGUGUAUCUUCGCCCGUGACAGCUACCCUGCGAACCCUGCCUUCCCCGGUAUUUCGGGGCACCCUCAUCCAGUUACCCUAGUCAACUUCUCAGUGGAUCGCUCAGGUUCCGCACCAAACACCAGCAUCCAACGGAAUCUGCCGGGUCGACAGCGGGCCCAACUCCAUUCCUGGUUGGCUCGCAGGUUAACUUUAUCCCAGGUCACAACCAUCCAUCAGGGGCGCAAUACCUUCCACUAUCGGACAAAUUUUUGACCCUUACGGGUAUCGAUCCCGGGAUCUCCCGGGGGCAAUGGUUGCGCGUUACCAAUAGUGCCAAACCCUAGCAUAUACAUGAUGUAUACACACCUGCCUCUCCCUGAUCUAUAUAAUAAGCCUCACCACCCGGCCCGCCAUUAGACGCCACCGUUGAUCCGGCAAAGUCCACGGGAUAAUGCUGGUGGUGGGUGCUGAACCCCCAAACAUUCACUGACUUCGCAGAAGUCGCCACACAUGCGUGAUGAUGAGGAGGAUGAGGGUGGUGCCCCGAAACAUCGGGGAAGGUGCUUGGGGGACUGCCGGGCUAAUGGCCACGGGUGAAGUUGUUAUACCCCCCACUACUUCACACAAUCAGUGAUCGUGGUUUUUAGAAACUUACAGGCGAAUUGGACAGGAACUCUACCACGGCAUCCACGACGGCAGGUCCUUCGGCCAAGACCGUCUCGGCGGCCGCAAGGACCGCGUAGCCAUCACCACCUAGUCAGAUGGGCAUGGGGGGACCCGGCGGGGAAGGGCGGAAUGUGAGCUGCAUGAGGGAGGAUGCAUAUAACUGGUUCGAAAUGCGAAGAUGCGGUGCAACAUCACUGGCAGCGCAACGGCCCAGGGGAAAGCAACGAAAGAGAACCUCAUCGCGGGAACCUAUUCAUCCUUUUCAUUGCCAGCAGGGUUUAACACCCAACUGUUAUGUACCGUGCACUGUGGUCAUAUAUGUAUGUGUGUAGAAUCCUGGGCAUAUCAUGGGAUCUGCAUCCGCCGAUCGGUAUUUUCUGAAGCCGUGAUAUAACAAUAUGCACGUUUUUGCCAAGCUUCUCAAUGCGUUUCAUUUCCUAAUGAGAACAACCAUGCCUGUAUGUCUGUAAUGAGGCAUUUCCGUAUAAGCUUCCGCAUCUGUACACUUACCCGCUGCCAUAUAAUCGUUGGUCACCAAUGCAUACUUGGCGCAAGGAUCGAUGGGCGAGUACGAACCGUCAGCGUUCUUGACCUCGAUCGCCGACACGCGCUGGUUGACCGGCUUGGUUGCGUCGUACGCAAAACGGAAGCCGCCCACCUGUCGAAUAAGGUGCCACGGCGCACGCGGUGGCCAACAAGUUUUGCUUAAGACCAGUGAGCUUCAAUACGUACUGCUACGUAAUUUUUAUUCCACGAAGAUUCCUGUCCUUGCUGGAGGACAUCGUUACAGACUUCAGCUUUGGCCUUUAGUGCCGAGUUGGAAGCUACAUCCCCCAUCACACACCAGUCAAAGGCCCAGGGGUGUGGCUGCUACUGCUGACGCUGGUGAUAAUGCUGCCGCUGGCGGUACUGCUGACGCCGUUGGUAUUUUGCUGCUGCUACUGCUGUUCUUACUGGUGCUACAGCUACAGUUACAGUUACAGUUACUCCUACUGCUAGUGAUACUGCUAUUGUCACCGUUACUGUUAGUGUUGCUGCUGUUGCUGCCAACUGGCAACCCCACCUGUGCAAAUUGCCCGAGUGCCUCGCCCCCGGCAAUGUUGCCCGCCACGCUGUUCUCGAGAGCUGACUUGAGGCCCGUGACGGAAAUGCUCUUGACCACAAGGGUAUUGCCGAACGGCAGAGCGGCCGCGAUUUGACCUGCGGCAUAGGCAUUUUGCAGGGCGUUACGGUUUGACACUGUGCUUACAAAGUGCAUAGCGAUAUUGAUACUGCAUAUGUGUUAAGUGUGCUUGUUAUGUUUGUAUGUGUCAAUACGUGUACAUAUAAUAAUGCUUCCACAAAUAAUGACAAUAAUAGUAAUUGUAAUAAAUAAUAAUUAAUAUGACAGUUAUAAAUCUAAAAUACAUGUAAAAUACAACUUGAGGUGCGUUCAAAAAUGUAACAAGUGUGAGCCCGUGCGAGCCCAGCCAAGGGCCCAAGGGUCAGACAGAAGGCAGAUCGAGGUAACAAGAUUACAAACCGCACAUAAGGUAAUUAUUGGUCUGCUAAAGAAGGAAAGGGUGGGUUUAAAGCCAUAGCAGUGUGCAGUACGAGUGCAGUUAGAAGAUCGAGCGAAGAAGAUGGGCAGAGAAAAGAGAUGGAAUAACCAAGAUGUUAGGAACAUGAAACACCAUUCCACAAAUUUGAAGAAUGAACAGACGCCCCCUACGGAACGGGACACGUAGCCUUUUCCUUAGAGACGCUGUCUUUAAUGAAGACUGUGCCUCUUGUUUUGUUCAACAAUUUGUAGGACUAUGAAUUAUCGACCUACAAACGGUAGGGACAUGGUAGCUGGGAUGCAGUGCACAUACAUACAGCCCGCGCAAUGAGUACGGUGUUGUACAUUCAGCAUACCUCCGGUCACCAGUCCAGCAGGGAUGUCCGCGCGAAUCGAACCAGAGUUCACCAUGCACAAAUUCGGCCUCGCGCCUGUAGUCAUCUGUUCAUACACGCCACCGUGAGGAGGGAAGAUGGGGGCAAGGAGUAUGCGGGUGGGCUUCCGUUGGCCAAAACACACGAUUAUUUACGACAACACGUGUUCCCGUACACGUACUGCUGCACGCUGUACAAAACUAGAUUGCAGAACCACAGACACACACAGAGGAUAGCAUCACCCGAGUUGGUCCUGCAGGCCGUCUGGAUGCCCGAUGCGGGUUUUAGUACAUGCGGAUUUCGGAGCUGAUUUCACUUUUCCACAGGGCCCCCGGGGGUCCCGUCCUCCAUUACCACACGUGAACCUUCGCGCACCUCCGCAUACCACAUCAUGGCGUCACAGACGAAGUCACCGAUGGGGGCCUCGCCCAGGCGAACAGUGGCCUUGUCGGAAACCAGGGUGUGCGACAGAGUGCCCAGUGCGCAGGAGGCGGUGGAGGUGGGCGCCGCGGAGCAGAUGCCGCUGCUGCCGCCCAGGUCGCAGCGGUUGAUGCGGCCCUCGGCAGCAGCGUAGCCAGUGACCUGCAGGGACAGGAAGGAAGAGGCGUGAGGGCCAUCGGGCAUGAGGAAGACAUGUGUGAGAAGAGCUAAACAUUAGAGGGGAAGAAAAGAUGGGAGAAGGGAGGAACGUGUGCUACGAACGAAAGCAUGUGUGAUGGAGGUGGUCGGAGGCGGCUUAAGGAUAUGCCAGGAAUAGAGAUGAUAAUCGCGAGAUCAUACGAUCAAAUCUUGCUUGAAACAAGACAAAUCAGGGAUAUCAGCGUUAUAAUCCUAUGCGCUGUCCAGGGAUCAAGUAGUAUGAUCAGCCCGAGAUAAGUUCUCAAUGUUGCCUUCGACAUCUGUCUGCGGAUUGAAACGUUCUCCCUCCAAACACAAGCCAUUGAACCAUUUCAAGGUGGAUUACAUGGCGCCGGCGUGAACUUUGCUACGUUAUGCACCACCCUCGUAGUGCGUGAUCCCCAUCACCAGCAGGGGUGAAAUACAAAUGAGAUUAUUCAGUAGGAACAAUAAUGCAGUUGCACUGACCAAAGCUUGGCGUGGGUUAAGGCCGGGGCUCGGGAAUUGAGGGGUAUUUCUGCCCCUAUAUGCCCCUGGGCAACAUCCACUAGGAUAACGCACUUUAAACAAGCACACAAGCACACAUGCAUACACACUAACUUGCGAGCUGACCAGGAACUAAGUUGAGGCGCCGUUGAUCCGCUAGAUUUGGUUGGAUGCUGGUGGUGAGUUGGGAACCCAACGAAUACACUCUGAAUUUGGAUGGGGUGAAUGGAUUAGGGUGCCCCUCUCGCAGGGGAGAGCAGGGAACUGCCUCGGGAAAGGGGGCCGCUGGUGAAGCUUAACCACCCUGUAACAACAUACACAUCCUGCACGCCUCUUGUCCUUCUCCCUCCAUCCCCUACUCGGCCGCAUGCUCGGGUCACACUGAUUUACCAGGCUGGCGCAAAAUCAAUCAGCAAGUAAGGGUUGUAUUCAUAAUAAAAAAAACUCACGGGUGACGUGUACGACAGGAAUUCCUCCACAGCCUCCACAGCAAAAAGCCCCGUCUCCGCUACCGUCUGCGCCGCCCUGAUGGUUAGGUAGCCAUCGCCGCCUGACCAGAGGGAGUGGGGAGGGCCGGGGAAGGGCGGAGAGGGAUAGGAAAGGUAUGGAAUGUAAGGGUGUAUUGGUAGGCCAACAUCAACCCGCAUGGCAUUACAGACCCUAGCACAAGAUCGUGCUAUGCUAGCACAAGAUAGUGCUAUGCUAGCACAAGAUAGUGCUAUGCUAGCACAAGAUAGGGCUAUGCUAGCACAAGAUAGGGCUAUGCUAGCACACGAUACUGUGCUAGGGGGCUCAACAACUCGGCAUCAGGCCCCAAAGCAGCAGCAGUAGCUGCAGCAGCUGCGAAUCCAGUAUGACCCACAGCAGUUUGAAAGUCAGCGGAGGAGGUCAACAGAAGGACAACUUAGGCAGAUGGUGGUUUCUCGCUUUCAAAGAAAGGUCGUAGUGACAGCAGUGUAACAACCAACACGCUGGGCGACGCUGCCAUCACCUGUGUCAACGGGUAUCCUAAUAUUAGGGCAACCACCGCAUCUAGGCCGUACAGCUGUACGGAGCCCGUUGCAAAAGGCCGUGGGAUUCACAGUGUUACCCUAAUAUGUACGGCAGCUGAUGGGUAGCGACGCUACCAUGGUGUGUGUGUAUAUAACAUCACUAGCAGGCACGUGAUGUGUUCUUUUGUCGCCGUCAUACUGCUUGUGUGCCGCCGAUGAUGUUUAUGUGGCCCCCCAACCCCCAUGCUCUUUGUGCCGUUCAAGCCGUACACUUACCCGCCGCCAUAUAAUCGUUGGUCACCAAGGCAUACUUGGCGCAAGGAUCGAUGGGCGAGUACGAACCGUCCGCGUUCGCAACCUCGAUCGCCGACACGCGCUGGUUGCGCGGCUUGGUGGCGUCGUACGCAAAACGGAAGCCGCCCACCUGUCGAAUGAUGUGAAAGCAUGUAGUUACAUUAAAAAACACAGGAAGCUGAGGAAAGCCUUUGUGCACGACCCGGGUGUUUUUUGAGCCUGCUAUUAAGACUACUGCUACCAUCAGCCGUUUCAUUUAUCAAACAGUCGUGCACGCAUAAACGCCGGUACGGCAGACGGCGUCAGGGCAAGAGCUUUGCCCGAGCUUUUUGAGGGAGAACCCGUAGUCUCGUUGAGCUGAUAAUGUCUGUUCCGUCAUUUUCUUCUUAAACUGUAUUUAACUUAAGCAGUGCCGUACAUAUUUCACCACCGGUUUCUUCACGCGGCCCUAAGGUUGGGCACCGGUACCGAUCAGCGGCCCGCCUGGUGUCGCGGUCUUAAAGGAACACCCCAUCGCAGGACGGAUGCGGUUAAUAGUGCCAACUGCCUACUGCCAACUGCCAACUGCCAACUGCCAAAUCGCAGUACGGAAAUGUACAAGUACCAUAGCCUAGUGUCGCCGUCAUGUACCUCGUACACGGCCACCUCACCUGUGCAAACUGCCCGAGGGCCUCGCCCCCGGCAAUGUUGCCCUCAACGCUGUUCUCGAGAGCCGAUUUGAGGCCCGUGACGGAAAUGCUCUUGACCACAAGGGUAUUGCCGUACGGCAGGGCGGCAGCGAUUUGGCCUGCGGUUAGGUGUUUUUAUGUUAUUUUGCACAACACCGUUUUAUUUUAAGUAAUGCAACACUGACACUGUUUUCUGUGUGUGCUGCUAGUUCGGACCGUGUGUUGCAUGAACUGCAUGGGAAUUGUGUCUGUAUUGCGUGACCUUGUCUCCGAUAUGUAAGUGGAGACGGUGGGUGCAUGGUAGCUGCGAUGCAGUGUACAUAUUUAGAACAUGCCUACUGUGUACGACGUCGUACAUUCAGCAUACCUCCGGUCACCAGUCCAGCAGGGAUGUCCGCGCGAAUUGAACCAGAGUUCACCAUGCACAACUUCGGCCGCACGCCUGUAGUCAUCUGUUCAUAGACGCCACAGUUACAGGAAAAGGAGGGAACAGGGGGGCCAAGAGAUAUGCGGGUGGGUUUCCGUUGGCCAAAACACACACACACGAUCAUUUACGACAACUUACAUAUGUUCCCGUGAACAAAAUGCCGCACACUGUACAAAACUCGAUUGCAGAACCACAGACACACAUAGAGGAUAGCAUCAGCCGAGUUGGUCCUGCAGGCCGUCUGGAUGCCCGAUGCGGGUUUUAGAACAUGCGGAUUCGGAGCUGAUUUCACGUUUUUCACAGGGCCCCAGGGGUCCCGUCCUCCAUUACCACACGUGAACCUUCGCGCACCUCGGCAUACCACAUCAUGGCGUCACAGACGAAGUCACCGAUGGGGGCCUCGCCCAGGCGAACAGUGGCCUUGUCGGAAACCAGGGUGUGCGACAGAGUGCCCAGUGCGCAGGAGGCGGUGGAGGUGGGCGCCGCGGAGCAGAUGCCGCUGCUGCCGCCCAGGUCGCAGCGGUUGAUGCGGCCCUCGGCAGCAGCGUAGCCGGUGACCUGCAGGGACAGGAAGAGGGAGCCGUGAGGGCCAUCGGGCAUGAGAAAGACGCGUGUGUGUGCACUGCGGCUCCAACCGCCCCACAUACAACGUAAUCACUAGUCACGCCAUACGUGCUUUAGACGCUAUAAAUGUUUAGACGCUAUACCUAUCUACCAUACAGGAUAUGCUCGGUACGCGACUUAUCGUACACGCGGCAUAUGCUACAUAUCCUACAU
This 7261-nucleotide long non-coding RNA is filed under the name Volvox carteri. RNAcentral describes it as "long non-coding RNA (VCAR_LNC002433)". Lineage: Eukaryota; Viridiplantae; Chlorophyta; Chlorophyceae; Chlamydomonadales; Volvocaceae. The record is from RNAcentral.